GGGGCGGUAGCGCAGUUGGGAGCGCGUCAGACUGAAGUAAAAACUUCAUUCAUUAAUCUGAAGGUCACCGGUUCAAUCCCGGUUCACCCCA
This 91-nucleotide transfer RNA is filed under the name Nemania serpens. Its description in RNAcentral is "tRNA-Phe". It matches the Rfam family "tRNA". Rfam says of the family: Transfer RNA (tRNA) molecules are approximately 80 nucleotides in length. Their secondary structure includes four short double-helical elements and three loops (D, anti-codon, and T loops). Lineage: Eukaryota; Fungi; Ascomycota; Sordariomycetes; Xylariales; Xylariaceae. The record is from RNAcentral.